Molecule: ribosomal RNA, 193 nt
Filed under: uncultured bacterium
Lineage: Bacteria
Description: partial 16S ribosomal RNA
Rfam family: Bacterial small subunit ribosomal RNA
Source: RNAcentral
CCUACGGGAGGCAGCAGUGGGGAAUUUCGCACAAUGGGCGAAAGCCUGAUGCAGCAACGCCGCGUGUGUGAUGAAGGUCUUCGGAUCGUAAAGCACUUUCGACCGGGACGAACAACCUCUGGCUAACAGUCAGGGGCCUGACGGUACCGGGAGAAGAAGCACCGGCUAACUCUGUGCCAGCAGCCGCGGUAAU